UACUGCUCAGUAACACGUGGAUAACCUGCCCUAAGGUGGAGGAUAACCCCAGGAAACUGGGAAUAAUACUCCAUAGGAUAUGGAUACUGGAAUGUUUCAUAUCCAAAAGUUCCGGCGCCUUAGGAUGGAUCUGCGGCCGAUUAGGUUGUUGUUGGGGUAACGGCCCAACAAGCCCAUAAUCGGUACGGGUUGUGGGAGCAAGAGCCCGGAGAUGGACUCUGAGACACGAGUCCAGGCCCUACGGGGGGCAGCAGGCGCGAAAACUUUACAAUGCAGGAAACUGUGAUAAGGGAACCCCGAGUGCCCGUAUACGCGGGCUGUUCGGAUGUGUAAAAAGCAUCCAGAGAAAGGGCCGGGCAAGACCGGUGCCAGCCGCCGCGGUAAUACCGGCGGCUCGAGUGGUGACCACUUUUAUUGGGCUUAAAGCGUCCGUAGCUGGAUUGUUAAGUCUCUUGGGAAAUCCGCCGGCUUAACCGGCGGGCGUCUAAGGGAUACUGGCAAUCUAGGGACCGGGAGAGGUGAGAGGUACUCCGGGGGUAGGAGUGAAAUCCUGUAAUCCCCGGGGGACCACCUGUGGCGAAGGCGUCUCACCAGAACGGCUCCGACAGUGAGGGACGAAAGCUGGGGGAGCGAACCGGAUUAGAUACCUGGGUAGUCCCAGCCGUAAACGAUGCGCGUUAGGUGUACUGGCGACCACGAGUCGCUGGGGUGCCGAAGGGAAACCGUGAAACGUGCCGCCUGGGAAGUACGGUCGCAAGGCUGAAACUUAAAGGAAUUGGCGGGGAGCAC
RNAcentral lists this ribosomal RNA (789 nucleotides) under uncultured archaeon. RNAcentral describes it as "bacterial SSU rRNA". It matches the Rfam family "Archaeal small subunit ribosomal RNA", at positions 84 to 879 of the family's 1478-position model. The record is from RNAcentral.